Long non-coding RNA from Neopsephotus bourkii (Bourke's parrot), 679 nucleotides. RefSeq lists it as uncharacterized. The transcript has 2 exons. The record is from RefSeq and is a predicted model, not a curated record. NCBI's taxonomy places the organism in Eukaryota, Metazoa, Chordata, Aves, Psittaciformes, Psittacidae.
UUUUAUUAGAACAAGUUUUUUACAUUUUCACUAAAACCAAAAAUCUAAUUUUUUUCAUACUGAUUGCUGCAAUUUGGGAGUAAUUUAAUUUGACCCAGGUGGCAUUGGAACAGCAUGAAACCUGUGUGCAGUGUUAGCACAGGGAGCCUGACUAACUACUGUGUUGCCAGAGGCUAUGUUUAUGUGUGUCCAGGUACAUAUGGUCAAUAAGUAGCCAGAGGAUCAGCUCUAAACAUUGGAAGCCUGAUUAGUGCCUGACCAAAGUCCAAGGGCUGAGGUCAGCUUUUCCUAGCUAUAUAUUUUUUUGUUGUUGUUGCUGUUCCUUAACUGACAAAAGGCUCAGCUCAACAGCCACUGUGGACUUACCAUGUGCUCUCAUCAGCCCCAAAUAGUGAAUUUAUCCAUCUGUGGUUUGCGAGCAUUUCUUAAGCAAAAGACUCAUGAGAAUGGAUCAGGUAGUGGCAAGAAAUCUGCAUUUAUACAUAUCUGAUGUUUUAAAUGUGCAUGCAAAAGAAAUACAGACAUUUUCUGAAAUCAGAAGAUUGUGAUUUGGAACUGAAGUCAGGAUACGACUUCUGUGCUUUAUUUUCUGUUGAAAUUCUUUGUUGGCUUCCAGUGAUAACCACUAAGCUCUUUCUGAAUAUAUAUUAAAAGCAAAUAUGCUAUAUGGCAACAUGAA